This 316-nucleotide long non-coding RNA is filed under the name Gallus gallus (chicken). The record is from RNAcentral. Lineage: Eukaryota; Metazoa; Chordata; Aves; Galliformes; Phasianidae.
GCUCAGUAAGAUUCUGCUGUUGGUCAGCUCCAUCUUCUUGAUUUACACCUCCUUCCAGCAACAUCUGCUGAUAUAAUUGCCGUUGUUGCUCUUUCUGCUCUAAGUGCUGCUGGUAACGUAGCCUUUGUCUGUAAUAUUCUUGAAACUGCUCUGUUGAAUCACGAAGCUCAUUUUUCUCUUGUUUGGCCGAUCCCUGACUCUGCGCUCCGGUGACUUGCUCAUUUUCUGGAGCUACACUCUGGGACAAUGUCUCGCUGCCAAUGGGAUGCUGUGGCUCCACAGGAGUAUCACUUCUCGCAGCAACAUGAAAAAGAAG